AGAGUUUGAUCCUGGCUCAGGAUGAACACUAGCUACAGGCUUAACACAUGCAAGUCGAGGGGCAGCAUGUUGGUUGCUUGCAACCAAUGAUGGCGACCGGCGCACGGGUGAGUAACGCGUAUCCAACCUACCCUUGUCCAUCGGAUAACCCGUCGAAAGGCGGCCUAACACGAUAUGCGGUUCUCAGCAGGCAUCUAACGAGAACGAAAUGUGAAGGAGAAGGAUGGGGAUGCGUCUGAUUAGCUUGUUGGCGGGGUAACGGCCCACCAAGGCGACGAUCAGUAGGGGUUCUGAGAGGAAGGUCCCCACAUGACUGAGACACGGUCCAACUACCUACGGGAGGCGA
RNAcentral lists this ribosomal RNA (346 nucleotides) under uncultured bacterium. RNAcentral describes it as "bacterial SSU rRNA". It matches the Rfam family "Bacterial small subunit ribosomal RNA", at positions 8 to 351 of the family's 1533-position model. The record is from RNAcentral.